AUAGGGGAGCCGCAGGGAAACCGAGUCUUAACUGGGCGUUAAGUUGCAGGGUAUAGACCCGAAACCCGGUGAUCUAGCCAUGGGCAGGUUGAAGGUUGGGUAACACUAACUGGAGGACCGAACCGACUAAUGUUGAAAAAUUAGCGGAUGACUUGUGGCUGGGGGUGAAAGGCCAAUCAAACCGGGAGAUAGCUGGUUCUCCCCGAAAGCUAUUUAGGUAGCGCCUCGUGAAUUCAUCUUCGGGGGUAGAGCACUGUUUCGGCUAGGGGGUCAUCCCGACUUACCAACCCGAUGCAAACUACGAAUACCGAAGAAUGUUAUCACGGGAGACACACGGCGGGUGCUAACGUUCGUCGUGAAGAGGGAAACAACCCAGACCGCCAGCUAAGGUCCCAAAGUCAUGGUUAAGUGGGAAACGAUGUGGGAAGGCACAGACAGCCAGGAUGUUGGCUUAGAAGCAGCCAUCAUUUAAAGAAAGCGUAAUAGCUCACUGGUCGAGUCGGCCUGCGCGGAAGAUGUAACGGGGCUAAACCAUGCACCGAAGCUGCGGCAGCGACACUUAGGUGUUGUUGGGUAGGGGAGCGUUCUGUAAGCCGUUGAAGGUGGCCUGUGAGGGUUGCUGGAGGUAUCAGAAGUGCGAAUGCUGACAUAAGUAACGAUAAUGCGGGUGAAAAACCCGCACGCCGGAAGACCAAGGGUUCCUGUCCAACGUUAAUCGGGGCAGGGUGAGUCGACCCCUAAGGCGAGGCUGAAAAGCGUAGUCGAUGGGAAACAGGUUAAUAUUCCUGUACUCGGUGUUACUGCGAAGGGGGGACGGAGAAAGCUAGGUUAUCCGGGCGACGGUUGUCCCGGUUUAAGCGUGAAGGUGGGUGACUUAGGUAAAUCCGGGUCAUCGUUAACACUGAGGCGUGAUGACGAGUCACUACGGUGAUGAAGUAACCAAUGCUACGCUUCCAGGAAAAGCCUCUAAGCUCCAGGUAACAUCAAAUCGUACCCCAAACCGACACAGGUGGUCAGGUAGAGAAUACUCAGGCGCUUGAGAGAACUCGGGUGAAGGAACUAGGCAAAAUGGUGCCGUAACUUCGGGAGAAGGCACGCUGGCGCGUAGGUGAAGUCCCUUGCGGAUGGAGCUGAAGCCAGUCGCAGAUACCAGCUGGCUGCAACUGUUUAAUAAAAACACAGCACUGUGCAAACACGAAAGUGGACGUAUACGGUGUGACGCCUGCCCGGUGCCGGAAGGUUAAUUGAUGGGGUCAGCCGCAAGGCGAAGCUCUUGAUCGAAGCCCCGGUAAACGGCGGCCGUAACUAUAACGGUCCUAAGGUAGCGAAAUUCCUUGUCGGGUAAGUUCCGACCUGCACGAAUGGCGUAAUGAUGGCCAGGCUGUCUCCACCCGAGACUCAGUGAAAUUGAACUCGCUGUGAAGAUGCAGUGUACCCGCGGCAAGACGGAAAGACCCCGUGAACCUUUACUAUAGCUUGACACUGAACCUUGAGCCUUGAUGUGUAGGAUAGGUGGGAGGCUUUGAAGUGUGGACGCCAGUCUGCAUGGAGCCAACCUUGAAAUACCACCCUUUAAUGUUUGAUGUUCUAACGUAGGCCCGUAAUCCGGGUUGCGGACAGUGUCUGGUGGGUAGUUUGACUGGGGCGGUCUCCUCCCAAAGCGUAACGGAGGAGCACGAAGGUUAGCUAAUCCUGGUCGGACAUCAGGAGGUUAGUGCAAAGGCAUAAGCUAGCUUGACUGCGAGAGUGACAGCUCGAGCAGGUGCGAAAGCAGGUCUUAGUGAUCCGGUGGUUCUGAAUGGAAGGGCCAUCGCUCAACGGAUAAAAGGUACUCCGGGGAUAACAGGCUGAUACCGCCCAAGAGUUCAUAUCGACGGCGGUGUUUGGCACCUCGAUGUCGGCUCAUCACAUCCUGGGGCUGAAGUAGGUCCCAAGGGUAUGGCUGUUCGCCAUUUAAAGUGGUACGCGAGCUGGGUUUAGAACGUCGUGAGACAGUUCGGUCCCUAUCUGCCGUGGGCGUUGGAAGAUUGAGAGGGGUUGCUCCUAGUACGAGAGGACCGGAGUGAACGCACCACUGGUGUACGGGUUGUGAUGCCAAUUGCAUUGCCCGGUAGCUAAGUGCGGAAGAGAUAACCGCUGAAAGCAUCUAAGCGGGAAACUUGCCUCGAGAUGAGUCUUCCCUGGACACUUGAUGUCCCUGAAGGGCCGUUGAAGACGACGACGUAGAUAGGCUGGGUGUGUAAGCGUAGCGAUACGUUGAGCUAACCAGUACUAAUGACCCGAGAGGCUUAACCUUACAACACCGAAGGUGUUU
This 2314-nucleotide ribosomal RNA is filed under the name Pectobacterium parmentieri. RNAcentral describes it as "partial 23S ribosomal RNA". It matches the Rfam family "Bacterial large subunit ribosomal RNA", at positions 657 to 2925 of the family's 2925-position model. Lineage: Bacteria; Pseudomonadati; Pseudomonadota; Gammaproteobacteria; Enterobacterales; Pectobacteriaceae. The record is from RNAcentral.